RNAcentral lists this RNase P RNA (442 nucleotides) under marine eukaryotic metagenome. RNAcentral's name for it is "Bacterial RNase P class A". It matches the Rfam family "Bacterial RNase P class A". From Rfam's summary of the family: Ribonuclease P (RNase P) is a ubiquitous endoribonuclease, found in archaea, bacteria and eukarya as well as chloroplasts and mitochondria. Its best characterised activity is the generation of mature 5'-ends of tRNAs by cleaving the 5'-leader elements of precursor-tRNAs. The record is from RNAcentral.
GGGUGAACGGUCGCCCUAUCUGUCGCCGAUCCUUCGGGGUAGGUGUGGAUGGGGAGGAAAGUCCGGACUCCGUAAGGCAGAACGCCCUCGUAAGCGCAUGGCGUGAUUCGAGGGGACCUCCCGGCAAGCGGGAGGGACGGAAAGUGCCACAGAAAUCAGACCGCCCGUCUUCGCCUUCGGUUACGACGCGGCAGGCUUUCGAGCCGGCCGGGAACGAGCGGAACGAAGACAGGUAAGGGUGAAAGGGUGGUGUAAGAGACCACCGGCCACACUCGAGAGAGCGUGGCGCACGGUAAACCCCGUUCGGAGCAAGAUCGAAUAGGAAGCCAUGGGUUGCCUGCCUUAUGCCGGCUUUGCCGGUAUGGCUUCGGGUAGAUCGCAUAAGAUAUAUGACCGUAACCAUCGCUUCGGCGCUGGAUACAGAAUCCGGCUUAUGAUCCUU